Molecule: ribosomal RNA, 255 nt
Filed under: uncultured bacterium
Lineage: Bacteria
Description: partial 16S ribosomal RNA
Rfam family: Bacterial small subunit ribosomal RNA
Source: RNAcentral
UACAGAGGUCUCAAGCGUUGUUCGGAUUCAUUGGGCGUAAAGGGUGCGUAGGCGGCGCGGUAAGUCGGGUGUGAAAUCUCGGAGCUUAACUCCGAAACUGCAUUCGAUACUGCCGUGCUUGAGGACUGGAGAGGAGACUGGAAUUUACGGUGUAGCGGUGAAAUGCGUAGAUAUCGUAAGGAAGACCAGUGGCGAAGGCGGGGUCUCUGGACAGUUCCUGACGCUGAGGCACGAAGGUCAGGGGAGCAAACGGGG